Molecule: ribosomal RNA, 492 nt
Filed under: uncultured bacterium
Lineage: Bacteria
Description: partial 16S ribosomal RNA
Rfam family: Bacterial small subunit ribosomal RNA
Source: RNAcentral
AUUGAACGCUGGCGGCAGGCUUAACGCAUGCAAGUCGAACGGCAGCACAGUAUGCGCUUGCUCUGCCGGGUGGCGAGUGGUGGAUAGGUGAGGAAUACAUCGGAAUCUACUUUUUCGUGCGGGACAACAUAGGGAAAAUUACGCUAAUACCGCAUACGAUCUAAGGGUGAAAUCAUCGGAUCUCCGGCCCUUGCGCCAGCGAAUGGCCCGAUGUCAGAUUAGCUAGUUGGAGGGGUAAAGGCCCACCAAGGCGACGAUCCGUAGCUGGUCUGAGAGGAUGAUCAGCCACACUGGGACUGAGACACGGCCCAGACUCCUACGGGAGGCAGCAGUGGGGAAUUUUGGACAAUGGGCGCAAGCCUGAUCCAGCCAUGCCGCGUGUGUGAAGAAGGCCUUCGGGUUGUAAAGCCCUUUUGGCGGGAAAGAAAAGCAGUGUGUUAAUACCCCGCUGUGAUGACGGUACCCGAAGAAUAAGCACCGGCUAACUUCGUG